CCUACGGGUGGCAGCAGUGAGGAAUAUUGGUCAAUGGACGAGAGUCUGAACCAGCCAAGUAGCGUGAAGGAUGACUGCCCUAUGGGUUGUAAACUUCUUUUAUAAAGGAAUAAAACGAGGCACGUGUGCCUUUUUGCAUGUACUUUAUGAUUAACGACCGGCUAACUCCGUGCCACCAGCCGCGGUAAUACGGAGGAUCCGAGCGUUAUCCGGAUUUAUUGGGUUUAAAGGGAGCGUAGAUGGGUUGUUAAGUCAGGUGUGAAUGUUUGCGGCCAACGCGUAAAAUUGCAAUUGAUACUGGCAGUCUGGAGUGCAGUUGAGGUAGGCGGAAUGCGUGGUGUAGCGGUGAAAUGCAUAGAUAUCACGAAGAACCCCGAUUGCGAAGGCAGCUUACUAAACUGUGACUGACAUUGAUGCUCGAAAGUGUGGGUAUCAAACAGGAUUAGAUACCCUAGUAGUC
Molecule: ribosomal RNA, 460 nt
Filed under: uncultured bacterium
Lineage: Bacteria
Description: partial 16S ribosomal RNA
Rfam family: Bacterial small subunit ribosomal RNA
Source: RNAcentral